Molecule: long non-coding RNA, 1705 nt
Organism: Siniperca chuatsi (mandarin fish)
Lineage: Eukaryota; Metazoa; Chordata; Actinopteri; Centrarchiformes; Sinipercidae
Exons: 2
Source: RefSeq, a predicted model, not a curated record
AACAAAAUGAAUCUUGACGACAAAAUCACUUUGGUUAUGGUGUUGAGACCACUGGCAGUCCACAGAUAAAAUCAUUCAUUUGUGGGACUUUAACUGAACUUUUUAUUAUGAGACCACAUGCUCUUUUUUUCUGUAAACAAAGGAAAGCCAUAGAACUAUUUCCUUCUGGCUUCGUCUACAGCACUGCUGCCCUGUGUAAAGCAGACACCAAACUCUCUGUCCUUACAGUAGCACUGUGAGGGCCUGCUAGAUCCCUGCAACAAGUUUAGUUAGCAUGGACGGCUACUACACAAAGUCUGGCAGCUAACAUUAACAAGCAACUAAGGAAGUUAGCGCCAAGCUAACUGUAAGGAGAACAACAGAUGAGUGACCGGCUUCCUCUGAUCUGCACAAUCGGAAUACUGCACAGCAAGGACUUUUCCUGGAACACAAUUCCAGCUUGGCAGACAGACCGCAAGGAGUAGGCCUACUUCAAAGCAACAUUCUUUCCCUCCAUGGACUGAUCGUGGUACGUUGUAACUUUGUCAAGCAUCCUGGUUUGGUGGUCCCCUGGAUUCUUUGUUCUCUUGUACCUUGCCUGCCUGUGGAUUUUGGAUUUUGCCUGCCCACCACUGGACUAGUGUUUCUGUUUUGAAACUGCUUACCUGCUGUGAGCUACUGUUGCCUGCCAUCUUCAGUGUAAGCCUUUUGUUAGUAAAAUUAUCAAACUGCACCUGCUCUGCCUCUGAUGUCUGGAAUUGGGUCCUACUCCUGUUUUCCUGCUCGACACACCACAACAAUUGUGUUAUAUGCUUUCACGUUACAUCACAUCUUAAAUGAUCUAUUAUAUAAAUGCUUGUGUAUAAUUAUGCUGGUUUCUUUAACAUUGCACAACAGUUAAUAAUUCACCAACCUCUUCUAUGUUGAACUCCAAAUCCUUCAACCUACUAGCUGUUAAUGGUAAUUUUGGUUAUAGUUAGUUAUUUAAUUAUUAAUCAAAAUUCCAAAUUGAUAGUUUAGUGCAGUUUAUGAGACUGAAUAACUUAAUUAGUUAUCAUUUUCCCUUGUUUAAUAAGGGUGGUGCCCCGAGGACUUUAUUAAUUAAAGUUAUUAUUUAUGAUUAUAUUUGAUUCUGAUAGCCAUAAUUAAUUGAUUGGACCUAAACAAUUUGGUGCCCCUUUUAACCAUUGUAAAUUCCAACGGUUAGGGAAAUAUUUUGCUUUUGGUUAAAUGUUAAUAAAUUUAAAUAUUACCAGUCUCAUACUUCAAUUCUCUUUUGACUUUUUGAAUAUUAAACCAUGACCAUGAUUUUUCCCUAACUUUUACCAAGUGCUUUAGGGGCCUAAGCAUAACCAUGGAAAGCAUUAGUUGCUUUAGUUGCUACAAGUGGAUGUUGUAUUGCAAGAUUGGGUUUUGAAGGGAAAACAAAUAAAAUACAUUGUAAGUAAACAUACAGCAGAUAUGUUCUAUAUUAACAAUUUGCAACCUGGCAGAUGCAUCCAUUUCCUCAAUAUGUUGAUAGAAAUGGUCAAUAAGGUGGCAUUACGUUUCUACCAAAAGGUAUUUGCUGCCGCAAAUGUAAACCAUACCAUUGCAAACUCCUAAUUCUACUACCAUUAGAGGUUAGUGAAAAAUUAUGUUUUUUUGGAAUUUGUGUAGCUUGUGACCUCAUAUAAAAGUUUAUAUUAAUAAAUGUUGGUUUGAUUAUCUGUUGAUGAUUGCAAAA